GCGGAUGUAGCUCAGCUGGCUAGAGCAUCACCUUGCCAUGGUGAGGGUCGCGAGUUCGAAUCUCGUCAUCCGCUCCA
This 77-nucleotide transfer RNA is filed under the name Nesterenkonia xinjiangensis. RNAcentral's name for it is "tRNA-Gly". It matches the Rfam family "tRNA". From Rfam's summary of the family: Transfer RNA (tRNA) molecules are approximately 80 nucleotides in length. Their secondary structure includes four short double-helical elements and three loops (D, anti-codon, and T loops). RNAcentral also lists the same sequence under 5 other names. The record is from RNAcentral. Lineage: Bacteria; Bacillati; Actinomycetota; Actinomycetes; Micrococcales; Micrococcaceae.